UACGUAGGGUGCGAGCGUUGUCCGGAAUUAUUGGGCGUAAAGAGCUCGUAGGCGGUGUGUCACGUCGGCCGUGAAAACCUGCAGCUUAACUGUGGGCGUGCGGUCGAUACGGGCAUCACUGGAGUUCGGCAGGGGAGAGUGGAAUUCCUGGUGUAGCGGUGAAAUGCGCAGAUAUCAGGAAGAACACCCGUGGCGAAGGCGGCUCUCUGGAACGCAACUGACGCUGAGACGCGAAAGCGUGGGGAGCAAACAGG
Molecule: ribosomal RNA, 254 nt
Filed under: uncultured bacterium
Lineage: Bacteria
Description: partial 16S ribosomal RNA
Rfam family: Bacterial small subunit ribosomal RNA
Source: RNAcentral